GAUGAAGAACGUAGCGAAAUGCGAUAAGUAAUGUGAAUUGCAGAAUUCAGUGAAUCAUCGAAUCUUUGAACGCACAUUGCGCCCGCCAGUAUUCUGGCGGGCAUGCCUGUUCGAGCGUCAUUUCAACCAUCAAGCCCCCGGCUUGUGUUGGGGACCUGCGGCUGCCGCAGGCCCUGAAAAGCAGUGGCGGGCUCGCUGUCACACCGAGCGUAGUAGCAUACAUCUCGCUCUGGGCGUGCUGCGGGUUCCGGCCGUUAAACCACCUUCAUAACCCAAGGUUGACCUCGGAUCAGGUAGGAAGACCCGCUGAACUUAAGCUUAUCAAUAAGCGGAGGA
This 336-nucleotide unclassified non-coding RNA is filed under the name soil metagenome. RNAcentral describes it as "partial contains 5.8S ribosomal RNA, internal transcribed spacer 2, and large subunit ribosomal RNA". The stretch from base 1 to 120 matches the Rfam family "5.8S ribosomal RNA", at positions 35 to 154 of the family's 154-position model. The record is from RNAcentral.